GUCGAACGAUGAAGCCCAGCUUGCUGGGUGGAUUAGUGGCGAACGGGUGAGUAACACGUGAGCAACCUGCCCCUGACUCUGGGAUAAGCGCUGGAAACGGCGUCUAAUACUGGAUACGAGACGUGAUCGCAUGGUCAACGUUUGGAAAGAUUUUUCGGUUGGGGAUGGGCUCGCGGCCUAUCAGCUUGUUGGUGAGGUAAUGGCUCACCAAGGCGUCGACGGGUAGCCGGCCUGAGAGGGUGACCGGCCACACUGGGACUGAGACACGGCCCAGACUCCUACGGGAGGCAGCAGUGGGGAAUAUUGCACAAUGGGCGCAAGCCUGAUGCAGCAACGCCGCGUGAGGGAUGACGGCCUUCGGGUUGUAAACCUCUUUUAGCAGGGAAGAAGCGAGAGUGACGGUACCUGCAGAAAAAGCACCGGCUAACUACGUGCCAGCAGCCGCGGUAAUACGUAGGGUGCAAGCGUUAUCCGGAAUUAUUGGGCGUAAAGAGCUCGUAGGCGGUUUGUCGCGUCUGCUGUGAAAUCUGGGGGCUCAACCCCCAGCCUGCAGUGGGUACGGGCAGACUAGAGUGCGGUAGGGGAGAUUGGAAUUCCUGGUGUAGCGGUGGAAUGCGCAGAUAUCAGGAGGAACACCGAUGGCGAAGGCAGAUCUCUGGGCCGUAACUGACGCUGAGGAGCGAAAGGGUGGGGAGCAAACAGGCUUAGAUACCCUGGUAGUCCACCCCGUAAACGUUGGGAACUAGUUGUGGGGUCCAUUCCACGGAUUCCGUGACGCAGCUAACGCAUUAAGUUCCCCGCCUGGGGAGUACGGCCGCAAGGCUAAAACUCAAAGGAAUUGACGGGGACCCGCACAAGCGGCGGAGCAUGCGGAUUAAUUCGAUGCAACGCGAAGAACCUUACCAAGGCUUGACAUAUACGAGAACGGGCCAGAAAUGGUCAACUCUUUGGACACUCGUAAACAGGUGGUGCAUGGUUGUCGUCAGCUCGUGUCGUGAGAUGUUGGGUUAAGUCCCGCAACGAGCGCAACCCUCGUUCUAUGUUGCCAGCACGUAAUGGUGGGAACUCAUGGGAUACUGCCGGGGUCAACUCGGAGGAAGGUGGGGAUGACGUCAAAUCAUCAUGCCCCUUAUGUCUUGGGCUUCACGCAUGCUACAAUGGCCGGUACAAUGGGCUGCAAUACCGUGAGGUGGAGCGAAUCCCAAAAAGCCGGUCCCAGUUCGGAUUGAGGUCUGCAACUCGACCUCAUGAAGUCGGAGUCGCUAGUAAUCGCAGAUCAGCAACGCUGCGGUGAAUACGUUCCCGGGUCUUGUACACACCGCCCGUCAAGUCAUGAAAGUCGGUAACACCUGAAGCCGGUGGCCUAACCCCUC
RNAcentral lists this ribosomal RNA (1373 nucleotides) under Microbacterium sp. MCCC 1A10725. Its description in RNAcentral is "bacterial SSU rRNA". It matches the Rfam family "Bacterial small subunit ribosomal RNA". Lineage: Bacteria; Bacillati; Actinomycetota; Actinomycetes; Micrococcales; Microbacteriaceae. The record is from RNAcentral.